This 257-nucleotide unclassified non-coding RNA is filed under the name uncultured Eurotiomycetes. RNAcentral's name for it is "sequence contains 5.8S rRNA gene, ITS2, 28S rRNA gene". Lineage: Eukaryota; Fungi; Ascomycota; Eurotiomycetes. The record is from RNAcentral.
AACGCAUAUUGCGCCCUCUGGCAUUCCGGAGGGCAUGCCUGUCCGAGCGUCAUUGCAAACCCUCAAGCGCGGCUUGCGUGAUGGGCCACAGCGUCUGCUCCCCCGCAGACGGGCCUGAAAGGUAGCGGCAGCGCGGUGCGAUCAGCCACAGUGUAUGGAGACUUCCUGUCACACGCUGGCGGCGCGUACCCACGCUCGUCCCCCUCAUUCUCUCGUGGUUUGACCUCGGAUCAGGUAGGGAUACCCGCUGAACUUAA